RNAcentral lists this ribosomal RNA (460 nucleotides) under uncultured bacterium. Its description in RNAcentral is "partial 16S ribosomal RNA". It matches the Rfam family "Bacterial small subunit ribosomal RNA", at positions 338 to 795 of the family's 1533-position model. The record is from RNAcentral.
CCUACGGGGGGCAGCAGUGAGGAAUAUUGGUCAAUGGACGAGAGUCUGAACCAGCCAAGUAGCGUGAAGGAUGACUGCCCUAUGGGUUGUAAACUUCUUUUAUAUGGGAAUAAAAUGUUCCACGUGUGGGAUUUUGUAUGUACCAUAUGAAUAAGGAUCGGCUAACUCCGUGCCAGCAGCCGCGGUAAUACGGAGGAUCCGAGCGUUAUCCGGAUUUAUUGGGUUUAAAGGGAGCGUAGGUGGAUUGUUAAGUCAGUUGUGAAAGUUUGCGGCUCAACCGUAAAAUUGCAGUUGAAACUGGCAGUCUUGAGUACAGUAGAGGUGGGCGGAAUUCGUGGUGUAGCGGUGAAAUGCUUAGAUAUCACGAAGAACUCCGAUUGCGAAGGCAGUUCACUGGACUGCAACUGACACUGAGGCUCGAAAGUGUGGGUAUCAAACAGGAUUAGAGACCCUAGUAGUC